GACGAACGCUGGCGGCGUGCUUAACACAUGCAAGUCGAACGGAAAGGCCCUGCUUUUGUGGGGUGCUCGAGUGGCGAACGGGUGAGUAACACGUGAGUAACCUGCCCUUGACUUUGGGAUAACUUCAGGAAACUGGGGCUAAUACAGGAUAGGAGCUCCUGCUGCAUGGUGGGGGUUGGAAAGUUUCGGCGGUUGGGGAUGGACUCGCGGCUUAUCAGCUUGUUGGUGGGGUAGGGGCUUACCAAGGCUUUGACGGGUAGCCGGCCUGAGAGGGUGACCGGCCACCUUGGGCCUGAGAUACGGCCCAGACUCCUACGGGAGGCAGCAGUGGGGAAUAUUGCACAAUGGGCGGAAGCCUGAUGCAGCAACGCCGCGUGCGGGAUGACGUCCUUCGGGUUGUAAACCGCUUUCGCCUGUGACGAAGCGUGAGUGACGGUAAUGGGUAAAGAAGCACCGGCUAACUACGUG
Molecule: ribosomal RNA, 468 nt
Filed under: uncultured bacterium
Lineage: Bacteria
Description: partial 16S ribosomal RNA
Rfam family: Bacterial small subunit ribosomal RNA
Source: RNAcentral